Molecule: long non-coding RNA, 2687 nt
Organism: Felis catus (domestic cat)
Lineage: Eukaryota; Metazoa; Chordata; Mammalia; Carnivora; Felidae
Exons: 6
Source: RefSeq, a predicted model, not a curated record
GUGUAAAUGCACGAAGGGUGGAAGCGGGGGAGAAGGCCGAGGCGCACAUUUUCGGGGACAACAACAUAAUAAGGCAAGUUGUUGUGGAGGCGGUUCAUAUCCUGAGCAGGAAGAGCGGCCCCACCAAGCUCCUUUCCCGGGAAUUACACUCAGCAUUUCAGCAUCAAGCUGCCAUGUCGCACUGUGUUGGGGGAAGGAUUUGAUGCUUUGGAGGGAACUGAAGAAGGCAAAUGUGGCUGUCACUCAGAGAGCAAGGGAGAAGGAGGCACGAAGAUCAGAGAAGCAGAGAGACAACCCUACAGAGGCUGGCAAACCACACUGAGGGUCUUGGUGUUUAUCCCAAGAGCAAUGGAAAUCCAGUGAAGGAUUUUGAGCAGGGUGAUUGUGUACUUUUUAUGAAGAUGAUUUUGUUCACUGGAAGACAACAAAAUUUCAGGUGUACAACACAACUUCCUCAUCUGGGGGAAGAAAAGCCUUGGAACUCAAUGACAGCCACAGAAAUGAAGCAGUAAGACACCAAGCAGGGGCCUGACCAUUUGUAAGUCUUGGCUUGAAAUGAAAUGUUGACUCCGGUUGGAACCCAAGACUGUUCUCAUCCUUGGAGAAUGACAGCUUCCCUGUACACAGAUUCCUCCUAUCUGAAGCUCAUUGCCUGGGUUGUCUUCACGUAUGGACCCAAAAAAGGCCCAUUUGGAUUGAGGAAAACAAAUACUAAUGAGCAUUAGUGGAAAUACUAGAUCAAAUACCUAAUACAUGCUUUCAUCUUAGGUUAAAAGAAAAGAUUUAAUGGUUAGGUUUGUCAAGAUACACAUAUUAUGCUUUUCUGACUUUCUUCACUCUGUUUUCACAGUUGAUAGUGUGCAUGUGCUUCCCGUGUUUUUUUUUUUCUAUUCUCAGCAGCAUGGUGGAGUUAGAUGUGAGUAAAAACACCUAGUGUUCAGUCCCAGGUCAGUAACUGUGGGUGUCAGUCUUUUUGUCUUCAGGUCUCCGUCGAGGAAAAGAGGCUUUCCGGGGUGGGAGCAGCCACGCACAGGUGCUCCCAGAUCCACUCUUCCUCAGGAGCCACACGGGGCAUGCGCAGGGAGGGUUCUUGGUGGCCACUCCCACUUCAACCACAGCACUCUUACUUGUGUCUGCUUAUUCUCUUCCGCUUAGCCGUAAACAUAAGGUUCACUAUAUAUACACACACACGAGAUUUUGCUGAGAAGAAAAAUUAACAAAACUUGAAACCCACUGUUAUCUGUUUUUGGUUCCCUUUUUGCUGCCUUCUUUGAAUUCACUGAGUAUUUUUUACGGCUUCAUUUUAUCUCUUUUAUUGGCUUGUUGGCCGUAUUCCUCUGUUAUGUUAUUUAAGUGGUUUCUUUAUGGGUAGUGUAGUACACAUAACUUAUCCUCACCUACCUUCAAGUGGUGUUAUCCCACUUCGCAUAGAGUAUGCAAACCUCCCCACAGUAUAUCUCCACUUCUCCCUUCCCAGCCUUCAGGCUUUGAUGCCAGACAUUUAAGGCCUCCAUAUAUUUGCACUCACAGUACACUGUGUGGUUGUUUUUGCCUUAAACAAUCAGUUAUCUUUUAAAGACACUUUUAAAAUGUGACAAAAAUUUCUUUAUACUUAAUAGUUUCCAUUUCUGGUGCUCUUCAUUUCUUUGUGUAGACAUUUAUUUCCAUAUACUAUCAUUUUCUUUCUUAUUGAACUACAUCUUUUAACAUUUGUGGUAGUGCAUGUCUGCUGAGAAUACAUUUUUGAACCUUUUUUUUGAGUUUGAAAAAGUCUAUUUGCCUUCAUUUUUUUGAAAGGUGUUUUCACUGCUGAAGUAUUCUAAGUUGACAAUUUUUUUUUCUUUCAGUAUUUUAAAGAUGACACCCCAGUAUCUUCUAGAUUGUGUUGUCUCUAACAAGAAAUCUGCUUUCCUAUAUAUUUUGUUUUUCGGCAUGCACUGUGUCUUUUGUCACUGGCUGUUUUUAAGAUUUUCUAAUUACCACUGGUUUUAAGUAAUUAGAUUAUAAUGUGCCCUACUGUAGUUUUAUUCGUGUGUCUUUUCAGUUUUUGGAUCUGUGGGUUGAUAGUUUUCAUCAAAUUUGGAAAAACUAUACCCAUGAUCACAAUAUUACUUCAGAUACUUUCUGCCCCUCCUCCUUCCCUUUGGGAAUUCCAAUUGCAGGUGUAGUAGACCUCUUGAAGGUGCCCCACAGCUCACUGAAGCUCUUUUUAUUUUUUUCAGAUUAAAAAAAAUUCUCACUCUGUGUCAUUGUGCACAGUUUUUUGUUUUGUUAUGUAUUCAAAUUCAUCAAUGUUUUCUUCUGCAAUGUGUAAGCUGCCAUCAGUUCUGUCUAGAACAUUUUUCAUCUUAGACGCUUCAAUUUCUAUCUCUAGAGCUUCAGCUGGAGUUUAUAUAUUCCAUGUCUCUAGUUAACAUGUUUAAUCUUUCCUAUAGCUUCUUGAACACAUAGAAUACAGUCAUAAUAACUGUUUUGAUAUCCUUAUUCACUAACUAUAUCAUCUGUAUAUAUCACUAUGUGAAUUGUGGGUCAAUUUUGAUCAAUUGUUUAGUCAUCAUGGGUCUCUUUUUCCUGCUUCACUUUUUGCCUUGUAAAUUUUGGUUGAAUGCUAGACAUGUGAUUUUUAUCUUGUUGGGUAUUUUUAUAUUCCUAUAAACAUCCUCAAAAAAUUUUUUUAAUGUUUAUUU